GACGAACGCUGGCGGCGUGCCUAAUACAUGCAAGUAGAACGCUGAAGGAGGAGCUUGCUUCUCUGGAUGAGUUGCGAACGGGUGAGUAACGCGUAGGUAACCUGCCUGGUAGCGGGGGAUAACUAUUGGAAACGAUAGCUAAUACCGCAUAAUAGUAGAUGUUGCAUGACAUUUGCUUAAAAGGUGCAAUUGCAUCACUACCAGAUGGACCUGCGUUGUAUUAGCUAGUUGGUGGGGUAACGGCUCACCAAGGCGACGAUACAUAGCCGACCUGAGAGGGGGGUCGGCCACACUGGGACUGAGACACGGCCCAGACUCCUACGGGAGGCAGCAGUAGGGAAUCGGCGGCAAUGGACGGAAGUCUGACCGAGCAACGCCGCGUGAGUGAAGAAGGGUUUCGGAUCGUAAAGCUCUGUUGUAAGAGAAGAACGAGUGUGAGAGUGGAAAGUUCACACUGUGACGGUAUCUUACCAGAAAGGGACGGCUAACUACGUG
RNAcentral lists this ribosomal RNA (495 nucleotides) under uncultured bacterium. RNAcentral's name for it is "partial 16S ribosomal RNA". It matches the Rfam family "Bacterial small subunit ribosomal RNA", at positions 28 to 507 of the family's 1533-position model. The record is from RNAcentral.